CUUCAAUAUAGGUUUUGAAUACUUAUGCUACCUAAGCAGUUAACCUUUAUCUCCGCUAAUUGAGAGAUGGCUGCAUUGAAAAGUAAUGUGUCACUUUAAAACGCAUUCUAAAUUUUAAACAACUCUAGCAGCAAAGGACAUGGUUUUGAUAAUGGUUGUUAAAAGCUGUCUGACUUAUUCCAGACAGUCUUAAUAAUGAGAACUAUGUGAUCUGAAAUACUGAACUUCUGGAAUUACAAUAACUUCUGUUAAUAUGUGUGAUACAGAUUCCUGGAAACUUGAGGAGCAGUCUUCCAGCAGCCAAGGAAUGCAGUUCCCCCCGGAUGUGUGGGUAUCUUGCAGAAAUCGAACAGAAGUGGGACAGACCAGUAGUAAGAACAACUGUUGUUUAAUACAGAUGAGCAAUUCGAUCUUCUUGGGUUGCUCACAUACCAUAGUGAUGAGUCUCAGAGAAAUACCAACAAAGAAGUUUUAAGUUCACUGCCUAUUUAGGAGAAUACAAAGUAUGUUCAGGCACAAUGUCAAGAGAUUCAGCAAUACUUUGGAGUGAAUUGGCAGGAACCCUUGCAAUACAACUUUGGCAAUAAUAGUGGCUGUCCUCUGGAGAUGCUGAAGCUAAGCUUUCUUGUGAACUUUCUUCUUGCACCUCCCCACGUGUGCACAAAGGACUUAACAUUGUUUAGAAUUCAUAUGGUAUAAAAUAAUCAUGGAUAUGCUUUUUUCUUCCUUGACUUGAUGUCUGCAUGUUUCCUGUAGUCAGCAAUGAAAUCUGUCCUAGGUCUGCUGACAUUUGAUCUGUUUUCAAAAGCUCUGAGUGACAGGUACUGUAAACAUCCUACACUCUCAGCUGUGGAAAAUAAGAAAGCUGGGAGAAGGCUGUUUACUCUCCCUGCCUUGGAAAUCAUCUGGAUGGACAAGGAUGGAAUAUUCUAAGCUCCAUGUUGAUUGUAUUUCUGACAACCUGUAUUUCAUAUUUUACAUUAUGAUGUCAGUAAGCACAUAAUAACAUAUCAUGCCAUCAAUGUCUGAUAUUCUGACUGAGACUCUAAUCCAUAAUAAAAGGAUUGUACUUAUAAACA
Molecule: long non-coding RNA, 1079 nt
Filed under: Apteryx rowi (Okarito brown kiwi)
Lineage: Eukaryota; Metazoa; Chordata; Aves; Apterygiformes; Apterygidae
Description: lncRNA (ENSARWG00000013100.1)
Rfam family: mir-30 microRNA precursor family (bases 818-893)
Source: RNAcentral